CAGGCCACAGGUAGAGAGAGCAGUGAACCGUAAGAACCAUUCUUUUCUUUUCUUUUCUUUUCUUUUUUUUUCUGUGUUAUCUCAGUUUAAAAGUGAGCUCGGGGACUUGGUUUAACUCUCUAAGCAGUUUUAAAAGUGUUCUGCAGCACGAUACUUCAAUCCUAUGGAAUGUCCCAAUACUGCCAAAUAAAGGUCUGAAGCUGUGCUUUGACAAGCUGUCUCCAAAGUACAAGUCGGUGGAAGAAAACCAUCUGUGGCUCAUGCUGAACUGAGACUUUUUUAACACCUUCUUCCUGGUCAGUGUCUACCUGGUGUUGCUCACUUAGGCUGCUGCUGAUCUCCAAAAGGUAUUGAUGAUUCGG
Molecule: long non-coding RNA, 362 nt
Filed under: Mus spicilegus (steppe mouse)
Lineage: Eukaryota; Metazoa; Chordata; Mammalia; Rodentia; Muridae
Description: lncRNA (ENSMSIG00000012467.1)
Source: RNAcentral